RNAcentral lists this ribosomal RNA (253 nucleotides) under uncultured bacterium. Its description in RNAcentral is "partial 16S ribosomal RNA". It matches the Rfam family "Bacterial small subunit ribosomal RNA", at positions 524 to 776 of the family's 1533-position model. The record is from RNAcentral.
UACGUAGGGAGCAAGCGUUGUCCGGAAUCAUUGGGCGUAAAGGGUGCGUAGGUGGCGCUGUAAGUCGGGUGUGAAAUCCUGAGGCUUAACCUCGGAACUGCAUUCGAUACUGCGGCGCUUGAGGACUGGAGAGGAGACUGGAAUUCAUGGUGUAGCAGUGAAAUGCGUAGAGAUCAUGAGGAAGACCAGUGGCGAAGGCGGGUCUCUGGACAGUUCCUGACACUGAGACACGAAGGCCAGGGGAGCAAACGGG